UACGGGGGGGGCAAGCGUUGUUCGGAAUUACUGGGCGUAAAGGGCUCGUAGGCGGCCAACUAAGUCGGAUGUGAAAUCCCCAGGCUUAACCUGGGAACUGCGUCUGAUACUGGAUGGCUUGAGUUCGGGAGAGGGAUGCGGAAUUCCAGGUGUAGCGGUGAAAUGCGUAGAUAUCUGGAGGAACACCGGUGGCGAAGGCGGCAUCCUGGACCGAUACUGACGCUGAUGAGCGAAAGCCAGGGGAGCAAACGGG
This 253-nucleotide ribosomal RNA is filed under the name uncultured bacterium. RNAcentral's name for it is "partial 16S ribosomal RNA". It matches the Rfam family "Bacterial small subunit ribosomal RNA", at positions 524 to 776 of the family's 1533-position model. The record is from RNAcentral.